CACCGCCCGUCACACCACGAAAGCUGGUUCUGCCCGAAGUGCUGAGCUAACCCGAAAGGGAGGCAGGCUCCGAAGGCAGUGCUAGUGAUUGGGUG
RNAcentral lists this ribosomal RNA (95 nucleotides) under uncultured bacterium. RNAcentral describes it as "partial 16S ribosomal RNA". The record is from RNAcentral.